This is a long non-coding RNA of Bos taurus (domestic cattle), 999 nucleotides long. The record is from Ensembl. Lineage: Eukaryota; Metazoa; Chordata; Mammalia; Artiodactyla; Bovidae.
UCUUCCCCCGGAGCUCACAGCCUCGGGUCCGCCCCCUUUGAACUCUGCGGGCUGUACCUGGAGGAGCCUGAGGGCCCAGGAGGAAAUCAAGAUGGCCGCACGAGGCGAGCGGAGGGACGCAGACGAGCAAUGCCAGAAGUCCACCACCGGAGUUUAAACUUGAUUGAAAGUGAACACUCUCCAGCCUCCACGUCUCCCUUGGCCUGCUUGCCUUUGGUUGCCUACCUGCAGCACAAGAAGGCUCGUGGAAGGGGGAACAGGGGACAGAAGAGACUUUUCCCUAACAGACACUUUUAUGAGACCUCUGCCUGUGGAGGAAAUGGCAGCCCACUCAAGUAUUCCUGCCUGGAGAAUCCCCUGAAUAGAGGAGCCUGGCGGGCUACAGUCCAUGGGGUCGCAAAGAGUCGGACACGACUGAAGCGACUUAGCAUGCAGCACGCAGGCCUGUCUUCAGGAGGUUGUGUGUGUGGGGGGUGAGGUGGGGCUGAUGCUGACACAUUCUCUCAUGGAAACCCUUCCAUCUCUGGGGACUCCCUGACAGACACCUCCACUGAACUGCUUUAUCACGGUCUGGGCCCUAGCUUUGGCGGAGCCUCUCCACCCGAGCCCGAGUCCCUGCCCCAGCCAGGAUAGUCAUGUGUGCCUACCAUCUCCUUUCCCUGGCAGACCAUGCCCUCUGGUGGGAUCCCUUCAAAGAUAAUCGCAGUCUGACGUCACAGCCAUAGUUUCCACAGCUAAUCCCCAGGGGUCAAAGAACUUGAUACAGGGCAAGUGCUGUUACUGCCCAGAGGCAGCUCUCAGCUCUGUUGUCAUCAGCUGCUCUCACUUCCUCAGGCUUGAGGUGGACCGCAGUCCCUGGGGCUGAGGAACAUCUAUUUCUCUCUCUCAGUGGUUCCAGGGAAGCCCCUCUCACCAGGCCUGGGUUCCAGAGGCUGAGCCAGCAUGCCCCUCUGCACAGGGAGUUGGGGGAGGCACGGAGGUGAGAAUGCUGCUCUCACC